RNAcentral lists this ribosomal RNA (468 nucleotides) under uncultured bacterium. RNAcentral's name for it is "partial 16S ribosomal RNA". It matches the Rfam family "Bacterial small subunit ribosomal RNA", at positions 28 to 507 of the family's 1533-position model. The record is from RNAcentral.
GACGAACGCUGGCGGCGUGCUUAACACAUGCAAGUCGAACGGAAAGGCCCUGCUUUUGUGGGGUGCUCGAGUGGCGAACGGGUGAGUAACACGUGAGUAACCUGCCCUUGACUUUGGGAUAACUUCAGGAAACUGGGGCUACUACCGUAUAGGAGCUCCUGCUGCAUGGUGGGGGUUGGAAAGUUUCGGCGGUUGGGGAUGGACUCGCGGCUUAUCAGCUUGUUGGUGGGGUAGUGGCUUACCAAGGCUUUGACGGGUAGCCGACCUGAGAGGGUGACCGGCCUCAUUGGGACUGCGAUACGGCCCAGACUCCUACGGGAGGCAGCAGUGGGGAAUAUUGCACAAUGGGCGGAAGCCUGAUGCAGCAACGCCGCGUGCGGGAUGACGGCCUUCGGGUUGUAAACCGCUUUAGCCUGUGACGAAGCGUGAGUGACGGUAAUGGGUAAAGAAGCACCGGCUAACUACGUG